AUUGAACGCUGGCGGCAGGCCUAACACAUGCAAGUCGAGCGGUAGCACAAGAGAGCUUGCUCUCUGGGUGACGAGCGGCGGACGGGUGAGUAAUGUCUGGGAAACUGCCUGAUGGCGGGGGAUAACUAGUGGAAACGGUAGCUAAUACCGCAUAACGUCGCAAGACCAAAGUGGGGGACCUUCGGGCCUCACGCCAUCAGAUGUGCCCAGGUAGGAUUAGCUGGUAGGUGGGGUAACGGCUCACCUAGGCGACGAUCCCUAGCUGGUCUGAGAGGAUGACCAGCCACACUGGAACUGAGACACGGUCCAGACUCCUACGGGAGGCAGCAGUGGGGAAUAUUGCACAAUGGGCGCAAGCCUGAUGCAGCCAUGCCGCGUGUGUGAAGAAGGCCUUCGGGUUGUAAAGCACUUUCAGCGAGGAGAAAGGGUAAUGUGUUAAUAAGACAUUGCAUUGACGUUACUCGCAGAAGAAGCACCGGCUAACUCCGUGCCAGCAGCCGCGGUAAUACGGAGGGUGCAAGCGUUAAUCGGAAUUACUGGGA
Molecule: ribosomal RNA, 542 nt
Filed under: Serratia symbiotica
Lineage: Bacteria; Pseudomonadati; Pseudomonadota; Gammaproteobacteria; Enterobacterales; Yersiniaceae
Description: bacterial SSU rRNA
Rfam family: Bacterial small subunit ribosomal RNA
Source: RNAcentral